Drosophila montana is the source of this 711-nucleotide long non-coding RNA. RefSeq lists it as uncharacterized. The transcript is spliced from 3 exons. The record is from RefSeq and is a predicted model, not a curated record. NCBI's taxonomy places the organism in Eukaryota, Metazoa, Arthropoda, Insecta, Diptera, Drosophilidae.
CAGAACAUAAAAUGCAAAUAUUUCAGAAAAACAUUGUACAAUUUUGCUAAAUUUUAAAUAAUUGCUUAAUUGAUUAUUAGUUAAGUAAAGAGCAACAGCCACACAGAGCUAUGUACAUAUGCAUGUAAGAAUGUCCACAAUCGAAGUCAAUUUCGCUAGCCAGCCCGAAACUUAGCCCAGCAACAACCAACAAUCAAGACAAACGACUCGACAAUGAAGAAAAUAGACAUGGUUUAUGAGCACUGCUAUGUCUGAGAUUCGCAGUCCCAGUGGCUUCGUUUGUCCCAUUUCUUUGCACAUAGUUUCCUAUGCCAUCGAUAUCUUGCACAAGCAUCUAGGCUAUCAGGACAGACGAAAAACGCAUUACGGGGUUUCAUGCGCACUGUUGGUGUUUGGCAAGUGAUUUGUUGUUGCUUUCUAUGCACUUACGGCAGAGAUAUUGAGCUAGGCGACGACGCCUAUAUGCUUGCUGCGUUUUCAGAUUAGGCAUAUAACCAAGCAUUGUUGGAAAUGUCAUUUAUGUACAUGUUGGACAUGAGCCAAAGGCUUUCAUCAGAACUAUCGUCGGAUUCAACGACACCAACAAGGGAUAGCAGCUGUUGCUUGUCAAUAGUAAUGAGCGCGAAGCGGGACAGGGAUCAUCCAUAAACAGCGAAGUUGAUCAGUUUGUUGCUGAAAUCGCCGCUGUAGAAAUGCCUGUAAUGAUGCAUA